GGGCGCAUAGCUCAGCUGGUUUAGAGCACCGCCCUUACAAGGCGGGGGUCACUGGUUCGAAUCCAGUUGCGCCUACAA
RNAcentral lists this transfer RNA (78 nucleotides) under Fidelibacterota bacterium MT.SAG.4. Its description in RNAcentral is "Candidatus Marinimicrobia bacterium MT.SAG.4 tRNA-Val". It matches the Rfam family "tRNA". Rfam says of the family: Transfer RNA (tRNA) molecules are approximately 80 nucleotides in length. The record is from RNAcentral. RNAcentral also lists the same sequence under 1 other name. Lineage: Bacteria; Pseudomonadati; Fidelibacterota.